Molecule: long non-coding RNA, 1719 nt
Organism: Crotalus tigris (Tiger rattlesnake)
Lineage: Eukaryota; Metazoa; Chordata; Lepidosauria; Squamata; Viperidae
Exons: 4
Source: RefSeq, a predicted model, not a curated record
UCCCUCUUCUUUGCGGCAACCCCUGAGAUAUCAGAACACUGCUAUAGUGUCAACCCCAGUCCUUUUAAUUAAACAUCUCCAUCGUAUGUAUGUAAAUCUUACAUUUAUUUAUUUAUUAAUUUUGGUUAUUUGUUAAAUUGAUUUGCUGCUUGUGUCACUGUAGGCAUACUCUAGGCAUUCAUCACAUAUUUACCCAAAUAAAAACUGUUAACAGUUAGAUCCUCCCAGUUUUCUUUAAGUCAUAUCCUAAAUUUUUAAAACGUAACUAAUCUUUUAAUGCAACCUUUACUAACUUUAAAAGACUCUGUCUAGGAAAAAAUAGAUCUUCUUCUCUCUGAAACAGCCUAAGACUGGUGAUGAGCUGAAUUAAAUGUUGCCCCACAAGCACAGAGUAAACUGUCAAGUUUGGAAGCAUCUGGAGAGGACCACAAUUAUCUCACUCCUGGCCUAAAUUAGGGUAAAAUGGAUUUGCUAUAAAAUUAACAAAAAUCUGGACUGAAGAUAGAAAGCAAAAGUAAGACAAAUCAUUAUAUAUAAGAGUAAAAGUACUUGUAAGUAUGUUACAUUUAUAGGAAAUGACACUAUGAUAAUAGUUUUUGAGGGCUUCUGGUAGUUUACCAAAGGUGUAAUGACAACUAUCCCAUUUUGCUAUAAGCAAUGUGUAAAGAAUAAACUCCUGUUGGCGAGAACAUGUUCUAGGAAAACAGAGUGAGAAGAGUCAUAGUAAUGCAUGGUGGCUUUGGCAGCAAGAUUGUUGGAAAUUUGUGUUCCCAUCUAAUUUCUGAUUUCUGAAGAUCAUUUUCUCCUCAUGUACCAGAGUCACAUUAUUUCCAUCAGAAAGAAAAGUGUUUUUACAGUUUGUGGGGGUAAAGAUGCUCUCUCAUGUUUAUGUACUAACAUUUUAUAUUUAAAGCAAUGUAUUUAUCUCAUCUUAGGACUUUUCCAAAGAUGGAUGGAGGCAAAGCAAAGGUUUCUUCAGAUGGGGAAAUGCCUUGCCCACAAGAUUUAUAAAGCUGUAGACUUUCAAAACAAAACAAAACAAAAACCCGUAGUUUUCACUCAUUUCAAGCAUGCACCGUUGAAGCCAGAAAUGGAUCAGCUUAACUAUCAAACAGGAAUGAUAUCAAAGAGUGCAGGGCUGAUCUUGAAGUAGAGCCAAUGAGAAAUCGGAGAACAAUUGUAAGGGGGCAGUGAUAGGCUAAAGAAGGAAGGCAAAUGAACUAAAAAUCAGUUCACUUAAGGCAAUGAUGAUUGUGGCAAUGGUGAUCUUUUCUCAGCUCACUUUGAUGCUCCAGUAAUGCAGUUUGGAAGGCACAACAGUGAUUUCACCCAGCAUCUUCCCAUCCAUAAACUUUCUGUUUGGGCAUCUACAAGAGACUCCCUUUGAAGAGUAUUUGGAAAACAAGCUUGAGACAAACACAGCAACCAGACUCCUGUCCAAGGCUGCCCAUCAAGGUCCUACAACAACUAUCACAACUUUUUAGAUGUCUAAUGUGUUUCUGAACUAUGUAACAUUGAUGAGUAAAAGCUCCAGAGGAUUUGGAAAAAGGUUAUUAAAAAAAAAAUCCAAACACAUAUUCUCUGUCUUGCCUGAAGACACCCUGAUGUUUCCUUUUCCAUCUGCACCCAUCUUCUGAAGGUGUAAUGACAAUAUCUAGAACUUUCUCAAUUGCAGCACUAGCCUUGGAGACAUGUUUUUUGUCAUUCACGUUAUGAUAU